Molecule: small RNA, 46 nt
Filed under: Arabidopsis thaliana (thale cress)
Lineage: Eukaryota; Viridiplantae; Streptophyta; Magnoliopsida; Brassicales; Brassicaceae
Description: ATSL063150
Source: RNAcentral
AAGGAUUUAAUGGAUUUUUUUGGUAUUUUUUAAAAUUUGAUCAUUU